CCUACGGGGUGCAGCAGUGGGGAAUAUUGCGCAAUGGGCGAAAGCCUGACGCAGCGACGCCGCGUGAGGGAUGAAGGUCUUCGGAUCGUAAACCUCUGUCAGCAGGGAAGAACGGUCACUGUGCUAAUCAGCAGUGAAUUGACGGUACCUGCAAAGGAAGCACCGGCUAACCCCGUGCCAGCAGCCGCGGUAAUACGGAGGGUGCGAGCGUUAAUCGGAAUUACUGGGCGUAAAGCGCUCGUAGGCGGUAGGUCAAGUCAAGGGUGAAAUCCCCGCCAGCAACGUGGGAACUGCCUUUGAAACUGGCAAACUGGAGUGUGUGAGAGGAUAGUGGAAUUCCAGGUUUAUGAGUGAACUCCGUAGAUAUCUGGAGGAACAUCAGUGGCGAAGGCGACUAUCUGGCACAUAACUGACGCUGAGGAGCGAAAGCGUGGGUAGCAAACAGGAUUAGAUACCCUGGUAGUC
Molecule: ribosomal RNA, 465 nt
Filed under: uncultured bacterium
Lineage: Bacteria
Description: partial 16S ribosomal RNA
Rfam family: Bacterial small subunit ribosomal RNA
Source: RNAcentral